AUGGCGGGCGCUGAAGGGCGCGCUCGCGCGCGAGGUCAGGGACAUCGCCUUGCCGGAAGCCAGGGGCGCAUGCUCGCGCGGGAGGAGGGAGAACGCCUCGCCGGGGCGCGUGCUCGCGCGGAAGAAGGGUGGCCGCCUCGCCGGCUCGCGUGCUCGCGCUGGAGAAGGGUGGCCGCCUCACCGGAGCUGUUAGGCAGUCAUUCUCUUUGCCGGGGUGCGUGCUCGCGGGAGGAGGGUCCUCCUGCACCACGCACACGAGCGGCGACUGCUCGCCGGCCGACGGCUCCGCUCUCCCCGUCCCAGCCGACGACGUCGGGCCCUGCCCCUCCCAGUUCACGCACACAACGUGGUUGUUGUAAUGUGUGUGAGAGUGGAAGAGAGGAGAAGGUAGAAGACUUGGUUAACACUCACACAUGGCCUUUUUUUCCCAAGUUAGCACCUGACUAG
This 447-nucleotide ribosomal RNA is filed under the name Triticum aestivum (bread wheat). RNAcentral's name for it is "partial small subunit ribosomal RNA". The record is from RNAcentral. Lineage: Eukaryota; Viridiplantae; Streptophyta; Magnoliopsida; Poales; Poaceae.